Molecule: ribosomal RNA, 799 nt
Filed under: uncultured bacterium
Lineage: Bacteria
Description: bacterial SSU rRNA
Rfam family: Bacterial small subunit ribosomal RNA
Source: RNAcentral
AGAGUUUGAUCCUGGCUCAGGAUGAACGCUGGCGGCGUGCUUAACACAUGCAAGUCGAACGGGAAACCUUUUAUUGAAGCUUCGGCAGAUUUAGAUUGUUUCUAGUGGCGGACGGGUGAGUAACGCGUGGGUAACCUGCCUUAUACAGGGGGAUAACAGUCAGAAAUGACUGCUAAUACCGCAUAAGCGCACAGAGCUGCAUGGCUCGGUGUGAAAAACUCCGGUGGUAUAAGAUGGACCCGCGUUGGAUUAGCUAGUUGGUGAGGUAACGGCCCACCAAGGCGACGAUCCAUAGCCGGCCUGAGAGGGUGAACGGCCACAUUGGGACUGAGACACGGCCCAGACUCCUACGGGAGGCAGCAGUGGGGAAUAUUGCACAAUGGGGGAAACCCUGAUGCAGCGACGCCGCGUGAAGGAAGAAGUAUCUCGGUAUGUAAACUUCUAUCAGCAGGGAAGAAAAUGACGGUACCUGACUAAGAAGCCCCGGCUAACUACGUGCCAGCAGCCGCGGUAAUACGUAGGGGGCAAGCGUUAUCCGGAUUUACUGGGUGUAAAGGGAGCGUAGACGGAUGGACAAGUCUGAUGUGAAAGGCUGGGGCUCAACCCCGGGACUGCAUUGGAAACUGCCCGUCUUGAGUGCCGGAGAGGUAAGCGGAAUUCCUAGUGUAGCGGUGAAAUGCGUAGAUAUUAGGAGGAACACCAGUGGCGAAGGCGGCUUACUGGACGGUAACUGACGUUGAGGCUCGAAAGCGUGGGGAGCAAACAGAAGGAGAUACCCUGGUAGUCCACGCGGUAAACG